UCUCUGGAGGACUAGUGGUUACGCCUCGGUGCUCUCACUGCCGCGCUUGGGUUCGAUUCCCGGCCAGGGAA
Molecule: non-coding RNA, 71 nt
Organism: Pangasius djambal
Lineage: Eukaryota; Metazoa; Chordata; Actinopteri; Siluriformes; Pangasiidae
Source: the annotation of a GenBank genome assembly